RNAcentral lists this transfer RNA (70 nucleotides) under Dipodomys ordii (Ord's kangaroo rat). It matches the Rfam family "tRNA". From Rfam's summary of the family: Transfer RNA (tRNA) molecules are approximately 80 nucleotides in length. Their secondary structure includes four short double-helical elements and three loops (D, anti-codon, and T loops). Lineage: Eukaryota; Metazoa; Chordata; Mammalia; Rodentia; Heteromyidae. The record is from Rfam by way of RNAcentral.
GGGAGUGUGGCUUAGUGGUAGAGUGUUUGCCUAGAACGCAUGAAGCCGUGGGUUCGAUUCCUCAGUACCA